GACGUAGGGUCCAAGCGUUGUCCGGAUUUACUGGGCGUAAAGAGCGCGUAGGCGGCUCGUUAAGUGUGAAGUGAAAUCUCUAGGGCUCAACCCAGAAACUGCUUUACAUACUGCCGAGCUGGAGUGAUGAAGAGGUUUGUGGAAUUCCUGGUGUAACGGUGAAAUGUGUUGAUAUCAGGAGGAACACCCAUGGCGAAGGCAGCAAACUGGUCAUCAACUGACGCUGAGGCGCGAAAGCGUGGGUAGCAAACAGG
Molecule: ribosomal RNA, 254 nt
Filed under: uncultured bacterium
Lineage: Bacteria
Description: partial 16S ribosomal RNA
Rfam family: Bacterial small subunit ribosomal RNA
Source: RNAcentral